Molecule: ribosomal RNA, 2370 nt
Filed under: hydrothermal vent metagenome
Description: bacterial LSU rRNA
Rfam family: Bacterial large subunit ribosomal RNA
Source: RNAcentral
UUAAGCUAAGAAGGGUGCAUGGUGGAUGCCUAGGUGUCCAGAGCCGAUGAAGGUCGUGGCAUAGCUGCGAUAAGCCCCGGGUAGCCGUCAAGCAGGCUUUGAUCCGGGGAUUACCGAGAUCGGGAAACCGGGCGGGAUUUAUCUCCCGCCAGUCAAUGUACUGGGAACGCAGGGAACUGAAACAUCUAAGUACCUGCAGGAAAGGAAAGAAACCUCGACUCCCCUAGUAGCGGCGAGCGAACGGGGAAGAGCCUAAACCGGAGUGGUGCCAAGGGUACGACUAUUGCCUCUCCGGGGUUGUAGGACUCACAGCCUGAUCGUAAUAAGGCAAGAGAGUUACAAAGUUCAUUGUUAGAAGAACGGCGUGGGAAAGCCGACCGAAGAGGGUGACAGUCCCGUAUUCGAAAGCAAUGAGCCUCUCGUGAUGUUCCUGAGUAGCGCCAGACACGAGAAACCUGGUGUGAAUCUGCGGGGACCACCCCGUAAGGCUAAGUACUACUGGACGACCGAUAGCGUAAUAGUAGCGCGAGCGAAAGGUGAAAAGUACCCCGUUUAGGGGAGUGAAAUAGUACCUGAAACCAUGUACCUACAAGCUGUCGAAGGCCUAUGGCCCUUAGGGGCAACGGCUGACGGCGUGCCUUUUGCAUAAUGAUCCGGCGAGUUACGCUGUGUGGCAAGGUUAAGGGCUUCAGGCCCGCAGCCGAAGGGAAACCGAGUGUGAAUAGCGCGAAUUGAGUCAUGCGGCGUAGACCCGAAAGCGAGUGAUCUAUCCAUGGGCAGAGUGAAGCGGCUGUAACAGGCCGUGGAGGCUCGAACGGGUAUAGGUUGAAAACUGUUCCGAUGACCUGUGGAUAGGAGUGAAAGGCUAAUCAAACUCGCAAAUAGCUGGUUCUCCCCGAAAUAGCUUUUGGGCUAGCCUCAAGUGAUAGUGCACGGGGGUAGAGAUACUGAUUGGGAUUGGGGUCCUUUGGGAUACCCAACUCAGCCAAACUCCGAAUACCGUGUACCGUAUCUUGGGAGUCAGUCUAUGGGCGAUAAGGUCCGUGGACGAGAGGGAAACAACCCAGACCGCCAGCUAAGGUCCCAAAUGUGUACUAAGUGUAGUGAAGGAAGUGAAUUUUCAAAGACAGCCAGGAUGUUGGCUUAGAAGCAGCCAUCAUUUAAAGAGUGCGUAACAGCUCACUGGUCGAGAGAAUUUGCGCCGAGAAUGAACGGGACUCAAGUACACAACCGAAGCUGCGGCUUGCAUAGAUUCGUUGAAUCUUUGCAGGGGUAGGGGAGCGUUCCAAGCGAGUGAAGGGUGACGGUAACGACACCUGGACGCUCUGGAAGCGAUUAUGCCGGAAUGAGUAGCGAUAAAGCAGGUGAGAAUCCUGCUCGCCGAAAACCCAAGGUUUCCUGGGCACGGUAAAUCCGCCCAGGGUUAGUCGGUACCUAAGGCGAGGCCGAAAGGCGUAGUCGAUGGACAACAGGUUAAUAUUCCUGUACUUCUAAUUUGAUGUUUGAUCCAGGGGUGACGCGGAAGGAAAGGUGAGCGCACUGACCCAUUGUGCGUUUAAGCCCGAGGGUGGCACGGAGAGAUACGUGCGGAAUCCUGGAGGUGAAUACGAGGCCAUCUGGCCGAAGUCAUUGGACUGACCGCCGAGAAAUAGCCCCUAAGGGUAGUUGAAUUUGAAUCCGUACCUAAACUGACACAGGAGGGUGAGGUUAGUAACCUAAGGCGCUCGAGAGAACUGUUGUUAAGGAACUCGGCAAAAUGACCCCGUAACUUCGGGAUAAGGGGAGCCCCUCAGUGUGUAGGCCUUUACGGUUGAAGCACCAGGGGGCCGCAGAGAAUCGAUGCAAACGACUGUUUACUAAAAACACAGGUCUGUGCUAACUCUUAAAGAGGAUGUAUACAGACUGACGCCUGCCCAAUGCCGGAAGGUCAAAGGGAGUGGUUAGCGUAAGCGAAGCUACGAACUGAAGCCCCGGUGAAUGGCGGCCGUAACUAUGACGGUCCUAAGGUAGCGAAGUUCCUUGUCGGGUAAGUUCCGACCCGCACGAAAGGCGUAGCUCGGCGAAAUUGUAGUCGUGGUGAAGAUGCCACGUUCCCGCAUCAAGACGGAAAGACCCCGUGAACCUUUACUAUAGCCUGGUAUUGGCAUUUGUUAUAACGUGCGUAGCAUAGGUGGGAGACGUUGAAGCGGCCCUUUCGGGGGUUGUGGAGUCACAAUAUGAAAUACCACUCUCGUUAUAUUAGAUCUCUAACGCGUCAUUUGUAGUGGCGCGGACAGUGCCUGGUGGGUAGUUUGGCUGGGGCGGUCUCCUCCUAAAGAGUAACGGAGGAGCGCGAUGGUGCACUCAGCGCGGUUAGCAAUCGCGCGUAGA